UACGGGGGGGGCAAGCGUUGUUCGGAAUUACUGGGCGUAAAGGGCUCGUAGGCGGCCAACUAAGUCAGACGUGAAAUCCCUCGGCUUAACCGGGGAACUGCAUCUGAUACUGGAUGGCUUGAGUUUGGGAGAGGGAUGCGGAAUUCCAGGUGUAGCGGUGAAAUGCGCAGAUAUCAGGAAGAACACCCGUGGCGAAGGCGGCUCUCUGGGACGGUACUGACGCUGAGACGCGAAAGCGUGGGGAGCGAACAGG
Molecule: ribosomal RNA, 253 nt
Filed under: uncultured bacterium
Lineage: Bacteria
Description: partial 16S ribosomal RNA
Rfam family: Bacterial small subunit ribosomal RNA
Source: RNAcentral